This 85-nucleotide non-coding RNA is filed under the name Betaproteobacteria bacterium. Its description in RNAcentral is "SAH sequence". It matches the Rfam family "SAH (S-adenosyl-L-homocysteine) riboswitch aptamer". The record is from RNAcentral. Lineage: Bacteria; Pseudomonadati; Pseudomonadota; Betaproteobacteria.
GCCGCUGAGGAGCGUUGCGUCCCCCGCCGUCCCGAGGUGGAUGAGGGGGGUCAGGCUCAGCUAAAUUCAACGGCGCUCGCAUCGG